GGGCCCGCACAAGCGGUGGAGCAUGUGGUUUAAUUCGAUGCAACGCGAAGAACCUUACCUGGGCUCUAAUGCGAGUGACCGCUCCUGAAAGGGAGCUUUCCUUCGGGACACGAAGCAAGGUGCUGCAUGGUUGUCGUCAGCUCGUGCCGUGAGGUGUUGGGUUAAGUCCCGCAACGAGCGCAACCCCUAUCUUUAGUUGCCAGCGAUUCGGUCGGGGACUCUAGAGAGACUGCCUGCGCAAGCAGAGAGGAAGGCGGGGACGACGUCAAGUCCUCAUGGCCCUUAUGGGCUGGGCUACACACGUGCUACAAUGGCAGUGACAGAGGGACGCUACUUCGCGAGAAGAUGCA
RNAcentral lists this ribosomal RNA (350 nucleotides) under uncultured bacterium. RNAcentral describes it as "bacterial SSU rRNA". It matches the Rfam family "Bacterial small subunit ribosomal RNA", at positions 917 to 1269 of the family's 1533-position model. The record is from RNAcentral.